RNAcentral lists this long non-coding RNA (226 nucleotides) under Brassica napus (rape). RNAcentral's name for it is "long non-coding RNA (BNAP_LNC017164)". Lineage: Eukaryota; Viridiplantae; Streptophyta; Magnoliopsida; Brassicales; Brassicaceae. The record is from RNAcentral.
UUCGGGUCCGGGUAAAAUGCCCAGGCCAAAGGAUAACUAUUUACGAUGUUAUAAUGUGUCUGAGUAGAAUUUUCUUUUUCUUAUAGUUAAUGAAUUGUGUACUAGAUCAAAUUACGGGUUGCAGAAUGGAAAUAAAAAAAUGUUCGAAAAGAAUGGAAAGAAAAUAGGCCUAAAGAUAUAAACCUAAGCUGCAAUAAAGAAAAUGAAAUAAUUGAAUGCAAAGGGA